AGUGAAACCACUGCCUUUAAGUGUUAAAGAGUUUACCAGACCUGAAUUUCAACACCUUUGUGAGGAUUCCACCACACCAGCUCCAGAAUUCCAGACCUCCCCACCCAGGCCACCAAUUAAGCUACAGCCUCUGUGCUCACUCCCCUUUCUUUCCCUGUGCGAUCGCGGUCUCCUGUGUGCACUUGGAACUGACUUCCUCGGAAUUAUUUAGACAAGACAUGCUAUAAAGGAAACGUGAUGAUUCAACCAAAGAAAGCAACCUCACAGAAGGAAAUCUCUUCAAAGAAGAUUGAAAAUAAAGUCUCUUUAGACAUUACUGGAAAGAGAGUAACUUCAAGGAGUACUGAAAAGAAGGAUAUCUUAAAUCUACAGUCUGACCUAUGGUCAUCUUACUUGAAAGAAAGUGCAGGUAAAGGGGGCAAAGAUGCAGUCAUUGCAAAGCAGGAGAAAAUUGAUGACUAUCUCCUUCAAGAUAUUAAUAAGUUGUCAGAAUCACUGGAUGAUGGUGAAGGUGAUACCAAUGAUGAAGACAGUAACCCUAAAAAAGAUACUCGUGCCCCAUUAGAGUUAAUGGCAGAAUUCCUGAGAGCUGAAAUGGGCCGAGACUACCACCUGGCAAAAAAAUUAUGUCAGAUGAUUCUUAUCUAUGAGCCAGAAAAUCUUGAGGCCAAGGAAUUUUCCUUACUUAUUGAAGAAAUGUUGCUGAAAGAGGAAGCUCAGAACCUUGAGGAAAAUGAGGAAGAGAGCGAAGAAGACAGCAGCACUGAGAGUGAGGAAAGCAGUGAGGACAUGAGCGACGAGAGCUCUGAUGAAUGCAAAGAUGGGUCGUGA
Molecule: long non-coding RNA, 831 nt
Filed under: Chinchilla lanigera (long-tailed chinchilla)
Lineage: Eukaryota; Metazoa; Chordata; Mammalia; Rodentia; Chinchillidae
Description: lncRNA (ENSCLAG00000028111.1)
Source: RNAcentral